Molecule: non-coding RNA, 229 nt
Filed under: Bacillus smithii
Lineage: Bacteria; Bacillati; Bacillota; Bacilli; Caryophanales; Bacillaceae
Description: T-box sequence
Rfam family: T-box leader
About the family: Uncharged tRNA acts as the effector for transcription antitermination of genes in the T-box leader family.
Source: RNAcentral
GUAAAUGCUAUGAAAAGGACAUGAGUUUUUCUUAACGGUUCACAGAGAGGGAAGGGUAGCUGGAAACUUCCUAAUGCUGCAGAAAAACUUACCCCCUUGGAGCAGUAUUGGUGAAAUCAUAGUAAUCAAUACCGUCGUUGCUACGUUACAGCAAAAUGAGCCGUCACUUUUGAAUGGUGAUGGGAAGUUGGGUGGAACCACGGGUAUAGAACGCACGCUCGUCCCUUCG